AUGAACGCUAGCUACAGGCUUAACACAUGCAAGUCGAGGGGGCAGCAUGAGCUCAGUUUAUUCUGGGUUUGAUGGCGACCGCGCACGGGUGAGUAACACGUAUCCAACCUGCCGUCUACUCUUGGACAGCCUUCUGAAAGGAAGAUUUAAUACAAGAUGGCAUCAUGAGUCCGCAUGUUCACAUGAUUAAAGGUAUUCCGGUAGACGAUGGGGAUGCGUUCCAUUAGAUAGUAGGCGGGGUAACGGCCCACCUAGUCUUCGAUGGAUAGGGGUUCUGAGAGGAAGGUCCCCCACAUUGGAACUGAGACACGGUCCAAACUCCUACGGGAGGCAGCAGUGAGGAAUAUUGGUCAAUGGGCGAGAGCCUGAACCAGCCAAGUAGCGUGAAGGAUGACUGCCCUAUGGGUUGUAAACUUCUUUUAUAAAGGAAUAAAGUCGGGUAUGCAUACCCGUUUGCAUGUACUUUAUGAAUAAGGAUCGGCUAACUCCGUG
RNAcentral lists this ribosomal RNA (492 nucleotides) under uncultured bacterium. RNAcentral's name for it is "bacterial SSU rRNA". It matches the Rfam family "Bacterial small subunit ribosomal RNA", at positions 29 to 507 of the family's 1533-position model. The record is from RNAcentral.